RNAcentral lists this ribosomal RNA (492 nucleotides) under uncultured Bacillota bacterium. RNAcentral describes it as "bacterial SSU rRNA". It matches the Rfam family "Bacterial small subunit ribosomal RNA", at positions 355 to 838 of the family's 1533-position model. The record is from RNAcentral. Lineage: Bacteria; Bacillati; Bacillota.
UAGGGAAUCUUCCGCAAUGGACGAAAGUCUGACGGAGCAACGCCGCGUGAGCGAAGAAGGCCUUCGGGUCGUAAAGCUCUGUUGUUAGGGAAGAACAAGUAUCGGAGUAACUGCCGGUACCUUGACGGUACCUAACCAGAAAGCCACGGCUAACUACGUGCCAGCAGCCGCGGUAAUACGUAGGUGGCAAGCGUUGUCCGGAAUUAUUGGGCGUAAAGCGCGCGCAGGCGGUCCUUUAAGUCUGAUGUGAAAGCCCACGGCUCAACCGUGGAGGGUCAUUGGAAACUGGGGGACUUGAGUGCAGAAGAGGAGAGUGGAAUUCCACGUGUAGCGGUGAAAUGCGUAGAGAUGUGGAGGAACACCAGUGGCGAAGGCGACUCUCUGGUCUGUAACUGACGCUGAGGCGCGAAAGCGUGGGGAGCAAACAGGAUUAGAUACCCUGGUAGUCCACGCCGUAAACGAUGAGUGCUAAGUGUUAGAGGGUUUCCGCCC